UACGGAGGGUGCGAGCGUUGUCCGGAAUCACUGGGCGUAAAGGGCGCGUAGGCGGUCUGCUAAGCGUGCGGUGAAAGCCUGGGGCUCAACCCCAGGUCUGCCGUGCGAACUGGUGGACUCGAGCACUGUAGAGGCAGGUGGAAUUCCCGGUGUAGCGGUGAAAUGCGCAGAUAUCGGGAGGAACACCAAUGGCGAAGGCAGCUCGCUGGGACGGUACUGACGCUGAGACGCGAAAGCGUGGGGAGCAAACAGG
Molecule: ribosomal RNA, 253 nt
Filed under: uncultured bacterium
Lineage: Bacteria
Description: partial 16S ribosomal RNA
Rfam family: Bacterial small subunit ribosomal RNA
Source: RNAcentral